Molecule: ribosomal RNA, 374 nt
Filed under: uncultured organism
Description: partial 16S ribosomal RNA
Rfam family: Bacterial small subunit ribosomal RNA
Source: RNAcentral
GUAGGUGGCAAGCGUUGUCCGGGAAUCAUUGGGCGUAAAGCGCGCGCAGGCGGUUCUUUAAGUCUGAUGUGAAAGCCCACGGGCUCAACCGUGGAGGGUCAUUGGAAACUGGAGAACUUGAGUACAGAAGAGGAAAGCGGAAUUCCACGUGUAGCGGUGAAAUGCGUAGAGAUGUGGAGGAACACCAGUGGCGAAGGCGGCUUUCUGGUCUGUAACUGACGCUGAGGCGCGAAAGCGUGGGGAGCAAACAGGAUUAGAUACCCUGGUAGUCCACGCCGUAAACGAUGAGUGCUAAGUGUUAGGGGGUUUCCGCCCCUUAGUGCUCCAGCUAACGCAUUAAGCACUCCGCCUGGGGAGUACGGCCGCAAAGGCUG